Molecule: ribosomal RNA, 497 nt
Filed under: uncultured bacterium
Lineage: Bacteria
Description: partial 16S ribosomal RNA
Rfam family: Bacterial small subunit ribosomal RNA
Source: RNAcentral
GAUGAACGCUGGCGGCGUGCCUAAUACAUGCAAGUCGAGCGAACGGACGAGAAGCUUGCUUCUCUGAUGUUAGCGGCGGACGGGUGAGUAACACGUGGAUAACCUACCUAUAAGACUGGGAUAACUUCGGGAAACCGGAGCUAAUACCGGAUGAUAUUUUGAACCGCAUGGUUCAAAAGUGAAAGACGGUCUUGCUGUCACUUAUAGAUGGAUCCGCGCUGCAUUAGCUAGUUGGUAAGGUAACGGCUUACCAAGGCAACGAUGCAUAGCCGACCUGAGAGGGUGAUCGGCCACACUGGAACUGAGACACGGUCCAGACUCCUACGGGAGGCAUCAGUAGGGAAUCUUCCGCAAUGGGCGAAAGCCUGACGGAGCAACGCCGCGUGAGUGAUGAAGGUCUUCGGAUCGUAAAACUCUGUUAUUAGGGAAGAACAUAUGUGUAAGUAGCUGUGCACAUCUUGACGGUACCUAAUCAGAAAGCCACGGCUAACUACGUG